RNAcentral lists this ribosomal RNA (253 nucleotides) under uncultured bacterium. Its description in RNAcentral is "partial 16S ribosomal RNA". It matches the Rfam family "Bacterial small subunit ribosomal RNA", at positions 524 to 776 of the family's 1533-position model. The record is from RNAcentral.
AACGUAGGAGGCAAGCGUUAUCCGGAUUUACUGGGCGUAAAGGGCGUGCAGGUGGUUUUCUAAGUGGUGCGUGAAAGCGCUCGGCUCAACCGGGCGAGGGCGUGCCAAACUGGGGGACUAGAAACAGGCAGAGGAAAGUGGAAUUCGGGGUGUAGUGGUGAAAUGCGUAGAGAUCCCGAGGAACUCCUGUGGCGAAGGCGGGUCUCUGGGCAGUAACUGACGCUGAGGAGCGAAAGCGUGGGGAGCGAACAGG